Molecule: long non-coding RNA, 209 nt
Filed under: Carica papaya (papaya)
Lineage: Eukaryota; Viridiplantae; Streptophyta; Magnoliopsida; Brassicales; Caricaceae
Description: long non-coding RNA (CPAP_LNC013481)
Source: RNAcentral
CCAAAGCUCUUUCCUCAAGCCUUUUCUUCUUUGUUUGAGCUCUUUACCUCGCUUCCUUGCUGUCUCCUCCUUGUCUUGAGCCUGUUAUCAUAUACACAUAUUCUUGUAUUUGCAGUAUUAGAUAAGCAAUUAGGCUAAAGAUUUGAAAGUCCAACAAAAAAUUCAAAAUAUAUCACGUAACGUCAUAGAUUUAAUUAUUAGUGACUCAU